GAUGAACGCUAGCGGCAGGCCUAACACAUGCAAGUCGAGGGGUAGAAGGAGCUUGCUCCUUUGAGACCGGCGCACGGGUGCGUAAUGCGUAUGCAAUCUACCUUGUACAGGGGAAUAGCCCAGAGAAAUUUGGAUUAAUGCCCCAUAGUAUAUAACCUUCGCAUGUUGGUUAUAUUAAAGUUCCAACGGUACAAGAUGAGCAUGCGUCCCAUUAGUUAGUUGGUAAGGUAACGGCUUACCAAGACGAUGAUGGGUAGGGGUCCUGAGAGGGAGAUCCCCCACACUGGUACUGAGACACGGACCAGACUCCUACGGGAGGCAGCAGUGAGGAAUAUUGGUCAAUGGUCGCAAGACUGAACCAGCCAUGCCGCGUGCAGGAAGACGGUCCUAUGGAUUGUAAACUGCUUUUAUACAGGAAGAAACCCUCCCACGUGUGGGAGCUUGACGGUACUGUAGGAAUAAGGAUCGGCUAACUCCGUG
Molecule: ribosomal RNA, 480 nt
Filed under: uncultured bacterium
Lineage: Bacteria
Description: partial 16S ribosomal RNA
Rfam family: Bacterial small subunit ribosomal RNA
Source: RNAcentral